CCGCCUCCUCCUCCACCAGCACCACUCCCUCCGGGGCACCCCGGUCCCUGCAGAGUCCCUGGCCGGCGCCGCCUCCACUGCGGCCCCCUGAAUCCCGAGUCUGCUGCGCCCAACUGGUAGGACAGACGGACGGACAGAUUCCUCUCGCCUAUCACUCCGCCGCUGCUGCCUUAAGCGGCCCCGCGUCGGGAGAACUGGGAUCGCCCCAAGAGCACCGCGAGGGGUCAUCUCAGGCUGGCUGCAUGCCUCAGCUGAAGAUCCCAGCUCCUGUCAAUGCCACCUCUCUGCUUGACUGUCUCCUUCCAGAUUCGAUACAAGCAAGGAAAUGUGUGGCAUCUGGCUACCAUGAGCUGAAGACAAAGCCUACAUGGGGAAAAGUGCAACACCAGGAGAAUGGGAGAGAAAUGGAGCCACGCACUGAUGCUAUUAUGAAACAUCUCAAUCAAACUGCACCUCAAGACCGCCCUAUCACCGCAUUUGUCAUUUACAUGAGCCAAUAAACUCUCUCAUUUAAGUCAA
RNAcentral lists this non-coding RNA (519 nucleotides) under Pongo abelii (Sumatran orangutan). The record is from RNAcentral. Lineage: Eukaryota; Metazoa; Chordata; Mammalia; Primates; Hominidae.